This 465-nucleotide ribosomal RNA is filed under the name Vreelandella stevensii. Its description in RNAcentral is "partial 16S ribosomal RNA". It matches the Rfam family "Bacterial small subunit ribosomal RNA", at positions 338 to 795 of the family's 1533-position model. Lineage: Bacteria; Pseudomonadati; Pseudomonadota; Gammaproteobacteria; Oceanospirillales; Halomonadaceae. The record is from RNAcentral.
CCUACGGGGGGCAGCAGUGGGGAAUAUUGGACAAUGGGGGCAACCCUGAUCCAGCCAUGCCGCGUGUGUGAAGAAGGCCCUCGGGUUGUAAAGCACUUUCAGUGAGGAAGAACGCCUGGUGGUUAAUACCCAUCAGGAAAGACAUCACUCACAGAAGAAGCACCGGCUAACUCCGUGCCAGCAGCCGCGGUAAUACGGAGGGUGCGAGCGUUAAUCGGAAUUACUGGGCGUAAAGCGCGCGUAGGUGGCUUGAUAAGCCGGUUGUGAAAGCCCCGGGCUCAACCUGGGAACGGCAUCCGGAACUGUCAAGCUAGAGUGCAGGAGAGGAAGGUAGAAUUCCCGGUGUAGCGGUGAAAUGCGUAGAGAUCGGGAGGAAUACCAGUGGCGAAGGCGGCCUUCUGGACUGACACUGACACUGAGGUGCGAAAGCGUGGGUAGCAAACAGGAUUAGAUAUCCUUGGAGUC